This 344-nucleotide small nuclear RNA is filed under the name Octodon degus (degu). Its description in RNAcentral is "7SK RNA (ENSODEG00000022946.1)". It matches the Rfam family "7SK RNA". Rfam says of the family: 7SK was discovered as an abundant small nuclear RNA in the mid-70s but a possible function has only recently been suggested. Two independent studies have found that 7SK RNA binds the CDK9/cyclin T complex (known as elongation factor P-TEFb). Lineage: Eukaryota; Metazoa; Chordata; Mammalia; Rodentia; Octodontidae. The record is from RNAcentral.
GGCUGUGAGAGUGAUCUGGCUAUGCCACUUGUCACCCCCUAGUGAUUUCCAGGCUUGAUUUGGCUAAACUGGCUGGCUAGGUGGGUGUCUCCAUGUUCCCUCAAUGCUCCAUGUGUGUCUCUCCAGUGUGCUCAAUAGUAAUGAGGACAAGCACCGCUGAUAGAGGAGGACCUUUUCCUCAGUCAAGGGGAUUUACAAGUAGCUGCACUCCCAACCUAAACCUCCAUAUAAGCUCUCAAGGUCUGCCCCCCCCCAAAAAAAAAAAACAGAGAAAAAGAAGCCAAUCACAAAAAAAUUAAACUCAGGAUAGUUCUAUUUCUAGAAAGUUCUGGAAAAAAACAAGC